GACGAACGCUGGCGGCGUGCCUAAUACAUGCAAGUAGAACGCACAGUUUAUACCGUAGCUUGCUACACCAUAAACUGUGAGUUGCGAACGGGUGAGUAACGCGUAGGUAACCUGCCUGGUAGCGGGGGAUAACUAUUGGAAACGAUAGCUAAUACCGCAUAAUACUGAUUAUUGCAUGAUAAUUGAUUGAAAGAUGCUAUUGCAUCACUACCAGAUGGACCUGCGUUGUAUUAGCUAGUAGGUGAGGUAACGGCUCACCUAGGCGACGAUACAUAGCCGACCUGAGAGGGUGAUCGGCCACACUGGGACUGAGACACGGCCCAGACUCCUACGGGAGGCAGCAGUAGGAAAUCUUCGGCAAUGGACGAAAGUCUGACCGAGCAACGCCGCGUGAGUGAAGAAGGUUUUCGGAUCGUAAAGCUCUGUUGUAAGAGAAGAACGGGUGUGAGAGUGGAAAGUUCACACUGUGACGGUAUCUUACCAGAAAGGGACGGCUAACUACGUG
Molecule: ribosomal RNA, 505 nt
Filed under: uncultured bacterium
Lineage: Bacteria
Description: partial 16S ribosomal RNA
Rfam family: Bacterial small subunit ribosomal RNA
Source: RNAcentral